UUCUAUGUGUAAGGGGAAAACGGUGACAGAUUAUUGAAUGAAUAAAGAACAUGGCACAUCUCCAACUGUUAAUUAGACCAACUAAUUACAAAAGAAGGUUUUAGCUAUACUGCACUACUCUAAUUUCCAGAAUUACCAAAUGCAGGAUGCAAUCUAUGUUAAUCAGGAAACAGCUGCUUGAGAGAUGGCGGGUAAAGUAAAGCUGCAGGAUACCAAAACACAAACAAUUAACAUAAGAUAUAGAAGCCAACUGCUGUGUGUGUCAACCCUGAUCAAAUCACAAUAACAAAGGGAUUGUAAUGAGCUAAUCAGCCCUAUUGCAAACAUUGUUAUCUGCAAGGGUUUUCAAAAUCUUAGGUUUUGUUGUUCCAU
Mangifera indica (mango) is the source of this 372-nucleotide long non-coding RNA. RefSeq lists it as uncharacterized. The record is from RefSeq and is a predicted model, not a curated record. NCBI's taxonomy places the organism in Eukaryota, Viridiplantae, Streptophyta, Magnoliopsida, Sapindales, Anacardiaceae. The transcript has 2 exons.